RNAcentral lists this small nucleolar RNA (84 nucleotides) under Patagioenas fasciata monilis. Its description in RNAcentral is "Small nucleolar RNA SNORD121A". It matches the Rfam family "Small nucleolar RNA SNORD121A". Lineage: Eukaryota; Metazoa; Chordata; Aves; Columbiformes; Columbidae. The record is from Rfam by way of RNAcentral.
GUGCAAAAUCCAGUGAUGUGUCUUUUCCAAGCACGUAUCUCAUUGCUUUGUGUGGAAAAUGACUGUUGCUGAGUGAUUUUGGAU